Molecule: long non-coding RNA, 2030 nt
Organism: Dermochelys coriacea (leatherback sea turtle)
Lineage: Eukaryota; Metazoa; Chordata; Testudines; Dermochelyidae
Exons: 3
Source: RefSeq, a predicted model, not a curated record
UGUAAUCAGGGUUCAAAUCUAAAGUUGUCUUCUGUGAUUAUGCUCCUUAAUUCAGCUAGUCAGAGUGACCACCUUGUAAUCAGGGUGAGAGUCCUGUUCCCCUCGCUUAUGAUAAUUACUCUUGUCUUUUUCACUUGAGCCUUGUGACCUCCCUGUAAGUAGGGUUCAGGUCUCUGUCCUUUUCUCAUCUGGGAUUGUGUCUUGCUCUCAGCCCAAUCAGUUUGACUUCUCUGUAAUUUUGUGCAGGUCACGUGCCUCUUAUUUACGGAGGAUUUGUUUCCCCUUAGUGCUUUGGGCUGAGUGACCACCCUGUAAGUAGGGUUCAGGUUUCCUCCUUUUCUCUUUCUUGUGAUGUAUUUUCCAUUAUUUGGCUAGCCCAAGGGACCGCCCUGUCAGUAGGGUUCAGGUCCUUUCCCCUUUGGCUCCUUUGGGUUGUUGGGCUAGUCACUUGGACCCCACCCUGUAAUCAGAGUGCAGGUCUUGUCCCUUUUCCCUUUGUUUUUUGGAGGGGAGGAAGAUUGGUUGAGUUUAACACUGUAGGUUGAAUGACCUGUUUUGAUGAGCUCUCUUUCUGUUCUGGGAAGUCCCCCUUUGUUUUGUACGGAUGUGUUUGUGAGAGCACGUGAUAGAAGUGGGUGUGCAAGCUUUUAAAUUUUUAUUUUUUUAUUUUUCUUUUUUUAAGUUACAUCGCUGCAGCGCUUUUUCUUUACUCUUCUCCGAAUUGGAAAAAGAGCUCAAAGUGUAUUAAUGUAUUUAUCCUCCUCCUCCCCACAAAAGGGAAGAGUAAAGGCUCAGAUGUCAUUUUUUAGUGCCUUGGGCAGUGUGACCUCGCUGUAAACAGGGAACUGGUCUCUCCACUUUUGCUCUGUUUUGGCUGAGCUCCUUUUAGUGGGCUGAUGGCAAUGACUGGCCUUUAAGGAGGGCAAAUUAGGUCACAUGUCUGUGACUCACAGGUAGUGCAGUAUCCCUUAGUACUUGGGCAGCAUAACCACCCUGUCUCCAGGGUUCAGGUUUCUGCCCUUUAUUCUUUUGCCACCAUGCUACUUCAGCCGGUUGGUUUGAGUCCUGACACUGUAAUUAGGGGAGAGUUGGUGUCUCUCUGGCUUCUGGGGGAUAUUGAGUUCUUUGGUAACUUGAGCAAUGUGACCCCCCUGUAACUAGGGUCCAGGUCUUUGCCCACUUGCUCGUUUGCCAUUAUGCCACGCUCUGGCCCACUAGUCAGCGUGACAACCCUGUAAUUAGGGUCCAUGUCACAAGUAUCUACAGAAUGGGACAUAUUGAGCGCUUUGAUACUUUGAGGAGUUUGACCUUUCUGUAAAUCAGGAUACGGUCUCUGCUAUUUGGCUAAUCCCAGUGACCACCCUGUAAUCAGGGUACAGGUUCCAUCUCCCUUUUGAAAUCUGGUGGAUUAGAACCAUGGGCAGCUUGACCUCCCUGUAAUUAGGGUUUGGUUUCCAAGGCCCUUUGGGUCUCUUGACAUUGUGCUGUCUUCACUGCCUGAGGCGAAUGACUGCCCUGUAAUCAGGGAAUCUGCUCUUGGCCUUCUGGUCUCUUGUCACUAGGCCAAGUAAGCCAGCUGGUCUGAAUGAGCACCCUGUAAACGGGGUACAGGUCUCCUCAGACACUAUUUGUGGUGCCCCCAUGAAACUGUGUCCAGAGUCCUGGCCCUUCACACUGCGCUUCCAACUUGCCUGGAAUUCUGCAGCCAAGUCUCCUGCUUUCUUCCCUGCUUACUGUGCUCCUGGAGACCCGACAUCCUGCUCCUGUUGCAGGCAGCUCUAAGCACAAAUGGACAAGAAGGAAGUGUCAGGAAUGUGAAGCAAAGAGGAGGAAAGAGGACCAGUCACUGAAGAUGAAGAAGGAAAGGGACUCUGGGCACAGUAACCUCCCUAUAAUCAGACCUGAGGUCAUGUAGUGACACGGUACAGGAAUCUCUAGCCUUGUAAUCCCUUGAGCAGCGUGACCGCCCUGUAAGCAGGGUCCAGGUCUGUGCUGUUUUGUCCUUUUGACAUUAUGCUCCGUUAGCUGGC